GUCGUUCAGCUCGUGUCGUGAGAUGUUGGGUUAAGUCCCGCAACGAGCGCAAACCCUUGUCUUUAGUUACCAUCAUUCAGUUGGGGACUCUAGAGAGACUGCCGGUGAUAAACCGGAGGAAGUGGGGAUGACGUCAAAUCAUCAUGCCCCUUAUGGCCUGGGCUACAAACGUAAUACAAUGGCGUAUACAAAGGGAUGCGAAAGGGCGACCUGGAGCAAAACUCACAAAGUACGUCUCAGUUCAGAUUGGAGUCUGCAACUCGACUCCAUGAAGGCGGAAUCGCUAGUAAUCGCGGAUCAGCAUGCCGCGGUGAAUACGUUCCCGGCCUU
This 330-nucleotide ribosomal RNA is filed under the name uncultured Erysipelothrix sp. RNAcentral's name for it is "bacterial SSU rRNA". It matches the Rfam family "Bacterial small subunit ribosomal RNA", at positions 1051 to 1381 of the family's 1533-position model. Lineage: Bacteria; Bacillati; Bacillota; Erysipelotrichia; Erysipelotrichales; Erysipelotrichaceae. The record is from RNAcentral.